RNAcentral lists this ribosomal RNA (292 nucleotides) under uncultured bacterium. RNAcentral's name for it is "partial 16S ribosomal RNA". It matches the Rfam family "Bacterial small subunit ribosomal RNA", at positions 505 to 796 of the family's 1533-position model. The record is from RNAcentral.
GUGCCAGCCGCCGCGGUAAUACGUAGGGGGCGAGCGUUGUCCGGAUUUAUUGGGCGUAAAGAGCGUGUAGGCGGCUUGGUAGGUCUGCUGUGAAAACUCGGGGCUCAACCCCGAGACGUCGGUGGAAACCACCUGGCUAGAGUCCGGAAGAGGAGAGUGGAAUUCCUGGUGUAGCGGUGAAAUGCGCAGAUAUCAGGAAGAAUAUCCGUGGCGAAGGCGGCUCUCUGGUACGGCACUGACGCUGAGACGCGAAAGCGUGGGGAGCGAACAGGAUUAGAAACCCCAGUAGUCC